GAAGACGAUGAUGAGACGCUGCCGCACUCAGAGGUGGUGGACGUGUUCCAAGAGGGUCUGGCCAUGGUGGUACAGGACCCACUGCUCUGCGAUCUCCCAAUCCAGGUAACUUUGGAAGAGGUCAAUUCCCAGAUAGCACUGGAGUAUGGCCAGGCCAUGACAGUCCGAGUGUGCAAGAUGGACGGGGAGGUCAUGCCUGUGGUGGUUGUACAGAAUGCUACGGUCCUGGACCUAAAAGAAGGCCAUCCAGAGAUAUGUGCAGCUGCGGCAGGAGCGAGAAGGGGGCAUUCAGCACAUCAGCUGGUCCUAUGUGUGGAGGAAAUACUAUUUGACCUUCACAGGAGAGAAGCUCACAGACGACAAGAAGAAGCUCCGAGACUAUGGCAUCCGGAAUCGGGACGAGGUCUCCUUUAUCAAAAAGCUGCGGCAAAAGUGA
Elephantulus edwardii (Cape elephant shrew) is the source of this 436-nucleotide RNA transcript. It is a transcript of the gene named small nuclear ribonucleoprotein 25kDa (U11/U12) pseudogene, with no coding region annotated. The transcript has a single exon. The record is from RefSeq and is a predicted model, not a curated record. NCBI's taxonomy places the organism in Eukaryota, Metazoa, Chordata, Mammalia, Macroscelidea, Macroscelididae.